RNAcentral lists this ribosomal RNA (468 nucleotides) under uncultured bacterium. RNAcentral describes it as "partial 16S ribosomal RNA". It matches the Rfam family "Bacterial small subunit ribosomal RNA", at positions 28 to 507 of the family's 1533-position model. The record is from RNAcentral.
GACGAACGCUGGCGGCGUGCUUAACACAUGCAAGUCGAACGGAAAGGCCCUGCUUUUGUGGGGUGCUCGAGUGGCGAACGGGUGAGUAACACGUGAGUAACCUGCCCUUGACCUUGGGAUAACUUCAGGAAACUGGGGUUAAUACCGGAUAGGAGCUCCUGCUGCGUGGUGGGGGUUGGAAAGUUUCGGCGGUUGGGGAUGGACUCGCGGCUUAUCAGCUUGUUGGUGGGGUAGUGGCUUACCAAGGCUUUGACGGGUAGCCGGCCUGAGAGGGUGACCGGCCACAUUGGGACUGAGAUACGGCCCAGACUCCUACGGGAGGCAGCAGUGGGGAAUAUUGCACAAUGGGCGGAAGCCUGAUGCAGCAACGCCGCGUGCGGGAUGACGGCCUUCGGGUUGUAAACCGCUUUCGCCUGUGACGAAGCGUGAGUGACGGUAAUGGGUAAAGAAGCACCGGCUAACUACGUG